UACGUAGGGUGCGAGCGUUGUCCGGAAUUAUUGGGCGUAAAGAGCUCGUAGGCGGUCUGUCGCGUCGGCUGUGAAAUCCCGAGGCUCAACCUGGAGACGCCACCCGAUACUGCUGUGGCUAGAGUCCAGUAGGGGAGUGUGGAAUUCCCGGUGUAGCGGUGAAAUGCGCAGAUAUCGGGAGGAACACCAGCGGCGAAGGCGGCACUCUGGGCUGGUACUGACGCUGAGGAGCGAAAGCGUGGGUAGCAAACAGG
Molecule: ribosomal RNA, 254 nt
Filed under: uncultured bacterium
Lineage: Bacteria
Description: partial 16S ribosomal RNA
Rfam family: Bacterial small subunit ribosomal RNA
Source: RNAcentral